UACGUAGGUGGCAAGCGUUGUCCGGAAUUAUUGGGCGUAAAGCGCGCGCAGGCGGUCCUUUAAGUCUGAUGUGAAAGCCCACGGCUCAACCGUGGAGGGUCAUUGGAAACUGGGGGACUUGAGUGCAGGAGAGAAGAGUGGAAUUCCACGUGUAGCGGUGAAAUGCGUAGAUAUCAGGAGGAACACCUGUGGUGUAGACGGCUCUCUGGACAGUAACUGACGCUGAGACACGAAAGCGUGGGUAGCAAACAGG
This 253-nucleotide ribosomal RNA is filed under the name uncultured bacterium. RNAcentral's name for it is "partial 16S ribosomal RNA". It matches the Rfam family "Bacterial small subunit ribosomal RNA", at positions 524 to 776 of the family's 1533-position model. The record is from RNAcentral.